Molecule: non-coding RNA, 593 nt
Organism: Pocillopora verrucosa
Lineage: Eukaryota; Metazoa; Cnidaria; Anthozoa; Scleractinia; Pocilloporidae
Source: RefSeq, a predicted model, not a curated record
GGGCCAUGGGACCCUCGCUAUCAUUUAGUGACGAACUUUUCGGCGAAUUCGUUUUUGCGACGUUGAGCUGAAUUUUCCAAGUCAUGGCUCACAACUGUCUUUGGCCUUUUUGCUCCCCAAAUCUGUUGUACAUGGGAGAUGUGAAGUGACCCCACUACAAAUAGUUGGUACUAUGGACAGAAUGGAUUGGUGUGACAUUUACUAUGGCAAGCUGGUAUCCAAGAGAAUGUCAUUAGUACCUGAAGCUUACUACUGCAUCUUAGGAAAUGUCUGGAGGAGAGUAUGGAGCAUAUGCAAACUGGCAUUAGGGUGUAAAGGGUGAAACAAAGAAGGACAUGGCAGCCACUUGCUAGUCAUCUUCAAGAAGGAAUCCACUGUAGGGAAUGAUGCUGGAGAAGAACUACAAAAAUCUGUCAAUCAAGUGGAAGAUGCCUCUUUCUAGUUAUCCAGAGGAUAAAAAAGGCAAGUAUGGUCUGAUCAUGGUUAGCAGGGGCAUAGCAAGAAUAUUUUAGAAGAGGAUCUUUACCUUAGCAGCUAACUCGGAACCAUACCAGGUUAUUUUAUUGCUAAUGUCCGUCUCAUUUUAUUCACUC